UACGGGAGGCAGCAGUGGGGAAUAUUGCACAAUGGGCGCAAGCCUGAUGCAGCCAUGCCGCGUGUAUGAAGAAGGCCUUCGGGUUGUAAAGUACUUUCAGUCGUGAGGAAGGUGUUAAGGUUAAUAACCUUAGCAAUUGACGUUAGCGACAGAAGAAGCACCGGCUAACUCCGUGCCAGCAGCCGCGGUAAUACGGAGGGUCGCGAGCGUUAAUCGGAAUUACUGGGCGUAAAGGGCACGCAGGCGGUUAAUUAAGUUGGAUGUGAAAUCCCCGGGCUUAACCUGGGAAUGGCAUUCAAGACUGGUUAGCUAGAGUCUUGUAGAGGGGGUAGAAUUCCAUGUGUAGCGGUGAAAUGCGUAGAGAUGUGGAGGAAUACCGGUGGCGAAAGGCGGCCCCUGGACAAAGACUGACGCUCAUGUGCGAAAGCGUGGGGAGCGAAACAGGAUUAGAUACC
This 455-nucleotide ribosomal RNA is filed under the name uncultured bacterium. Its description in RNAcentral is "bacterial SSU rRNA". It matches the Rfam family "Bacterial small subunit ribosomal RNA", at positions 340 to 786 of the family's 1533-position model. The record is from RNAcentral.